This 376-nucleotide ribosomal RNA is filed under the name uncultured bacterium. RNAcentral's name for it is "bacterial SSU rRNA". It matches the Rfam family "Bacterial small subunit ribosomal RNA", at positions 524 to 898 of the family's 1533-position model. The record is from RNAcentral.
UACGUAGGUGGCGAGCGUUAUCCGGAAUUACUGGGCGUAAAGCGCACGCAGGCGGCUUUCUAAGUUUGACGUGAAAGCUCCCGGCUUAACUGGGAGAGGUCGUUGAAUACUGGAAGGCUUGAGGCAAUGAGAGGGGUGUAGAAUUCCCGGUGUAGUGGUGGAAUGCGUAGAUAUCGGGGGGAAUACCAGUGGCGAAAGCGGCACCCUAGCGUUGUUCUGACGCUCAUGUGCGAAAGCGUGGGGAGCGAACGGGAUUAGAUACCCCGGUAGUCCACGCUGUAAACGAUGAACACUAGGUGUAGGUGAUGUGAAAGUUAUCUGUACCGAAGCCAACGCGUUAAGUGUUCCGCCUGGGGAGUACGGCCGCAAGGCUAAA